UACGUAGGUGGCAAGCGUUGUUCGGAAUUACUGGGCGUAAAGCGUGCGUAGGUGGUUUGUUAAGUCUGUUGUGAAAGCCCCGGGCUCAACCUGGGAAUGGCAAUGGAUACUGGCAGGCUAGAGUGCGGUAGAGGGUAGUGGAAUUCCCGGUGUAGCGGUGAAAUGCGUAGAGAUCGGGAGGAACACCAGUGGCGAAGGCGGCUACCUGGACCAGCACUGACACUGAGGCACGAAAGCGUGGGGAGCAAACAGG
Molecule: ribosomal RNA, 253 nt
Filed under: uncultured bacterium
Lineage: Bacteria
Description: partial 16S ribosomal RNA
Rfam family: Bacterial small subunit ribosomal RNA
Source: RNAcentral